Molecule: long non-coding RNA, 1442 nt
Organism: Salvelinus namaycush (lake trout)
Lineage: Eukaryota; Metazoa; Chordata; Actinopteri; Salmoniformes; Salmonidae
Exons: 8
Source: RefSeq, a predicted model, not a curated record
CAGCACUUUGAGAUAUUAGCUGAUGUAAGAAGGGCUAUAUAAAUACAUUUGAUUUGAUUUGAUUGCUUUGAAACUGUGUCCAAGGAAAGAUUUUUGGCAUGUGAGUGAAAGCAUACACAUUGCUUUGAAACGGUGUCCGAGGAAAGAUUUUUGGCAUGUAAGUGAAAGCAUACACAUUGCAUUGAAACGGUGUCCGAGGAAAGAUUUUUGGCAUGUGAGUGCAUUGAUGUGAGAAAUGGUGUGUUUGCAGUCGAAAAUACAUUUUCUGGUCUAGCAACACCCAUACAUGUUGUGAAAAAUACUUGGGCUAAUUCAGUUCCAACUGUGUUCAAAACUGUUAUGCAUGGUAGAGUAUAAAAAGCUGUUGAAUUGUACUUUUUCUUUACUUUCACAUACACUGUGUUCACAGAAAUAUUGCUCGGAUCUUGUCCCCUGGACCUUGGAGGACUUUUGGUGUGGAGGAUGUUCAGGGCCUACCAAAGCAAGGUUUCUCAAACAACUGUGGGGUGUUUGUUUUGAUGUACGCUCUAUACAUUGCAAUGGAAGCACAGUGUGAUUUCCCUGAGGAAAACAUGCAGCACGUUAGGCGAUGGUGGUGCUUAGUUCUCCUGCAGAACUUUCCCAUGCCGUUUGAAGAAGAGGUUGAAAGAUCGAAAAAGGCUGUGAAAACAAAACACACUACAGGAUUUAGAAGAUGUCCCCCCCUAAGAAGUCACAGCAUGUUUCAUCAGCAUCCAGCUCUGCAGGAACAGACGAUACUGAAAACAAAAUGCACAGCGAACUGGGAGCUGUGAACUGGGAAGCAGAUGUUCUUCUCAGGGACAGCCUAGAGGCAGCAAGGUGGUGCGAACGCCAAACAUCUAAAGGCACCGUUUCCCUCCCAAGUGUAAUUGGGAUGGACGGGGAAGACCGUAUUACAACUCUUAAAGAACUACGGUUGUAUGAUGGCCUGGAUGAAGAGGAAAAUAUUCUCCUCAAGGAACCAUUCAUGUUCUCGUUCCAGUUAGAGAGAUUAUGAGAUGUUCUAUGUGGAGGCAGUUGACAACAAGAAAAUGUUGAGCAGGAGUGAAGCCAUUUGAAGAGUGGUCAAACCUUGUUUUUGUCUGCUGUGUUAAUUGUUUCAAUUAUGAAUUGUGUUAUGUUGUUUAGUAAAGAUGAUGUAGAAGUCACCCGAGUCUCUGAUCUCUUUACUGGAGCUGGUAUAACUUCAUGUACAGAGCACAUUCAUCUUGUCAGUAUGUCUAUGUGGUAUAGUCUGUCUCCAUUCUCAUGAGGAAAAUAAAAAGCAUUAUAAAUCAGGAUAGGUAGUAACUGUAUAUAUGCUCAAUGAAAUAAUAUAAUUACAAAGUUAGAACAUUUAUCAACACAAUUUUAACAGUACAUGACAUAAUUCUGUUGUUCACUGCAACAAUAUCAGUAGCUUGUCUCAAAUAUAGUAAGAA